Molecule: transfer RNA, 87 nt
Filed under: Clostridiales bacterium
Lineage: Bacteria; Bacillati; Bacillota; Clostridia; Eubacteriales
Description: tRNA-Leu
Rfam family: tRNA
About the family: Transfer RNA (tRNA) molecules are approximately 80 nucleotides in length. Their secondary structure includes four short double-helical elements and three loops (D, anti-codon, and T loops).
Source: RNAcentral
GCCGGAGUGGCGGAAUUGGCAGACGCAACAGACUUAAAAUCUGUCGUUCGUAAGAGCGUACCGGUUCGAGCCCGGUCUUCGGCACCA